This 253-nucleotide ribosomal RNA is filed under the name uncultured bacterium. RNAcentral describes it as "partial 16S ribosomal RNA". It matches the Rfam family "Bacterial small subunit ribosomal RNA", at positions 524 to 776 of the family's 1533-position model. The record is from RNAcentral.
UACAGAGGUCCCAAGCGUUGUUCGGAUUCACUGGGCGUAAAGGGCGCGUAGGCGGAUUGUACAGUCAGGCGUGAAAUUCCCGGGCUCAACCUGGGGGCUGCGCUUGAGACGUGCGAUCUUGAGUGGGGAAGAGGGUCGUGGAAUUCCCAGUGUAGAGGUGAAAUUCGUAGAUAUUGGGAAGAACACCGGUGGCGAAGGCGGCGACCUGGUCCUUGACUGACGCUGAGGCGCGAAAGCGUGGGGAGCAAACAGG